AUGGUUGUUUCUCUCUCUACAUCAAGUCCUGCAAAACCCAAAUCCAAGAAGAAUUCAGCGCUAGAUACGAAAAAGGUACCAUCAUGUAAUAAUACUGAUGAUGGAGAUUGAUGACGCCCUUUGAAAUAUCUGGUUUUGUAGUUGUCUUUGGAACACACGCUAAAGCGCCGUCUUGUUCAUCCUUUUGUGAUUUAAUUAAAUUCAUUUUCUUGCUCUAAAUUAUUCGGUAAUUUUCAAUUCAGAAGUCUAGGAGAACCCAAAUUGUUAAAAAUUAUGGUGAGGAGUUUGUUGGCACGAAGAUACAGGUUUGGUGGCUAAUGGACAAAAUGUAAGUAAUUAAUGUUGACGGCAUGCUUUCCAUUGUAAUUUAUAUUCCUGCUUAUAUUUUCCUUAACCAAAUAAUGGUUUCAUUCUCUGUUUCUUGAGCAUUGUAUUAAAUUGGGUUGCCCCAUGUCAUGGGAGUGAAUUAUCUUACCACGCCCCCAAAACAAACAUCCCAAGCUUCCGAACCAGGGGAAAAAAGUAAUGUGACGUUUAUGGACCAACUAGGUAGUAGUAU
RNAcentral lists this long non-coding RNA (559 nucleotides) under Olea europaea (common olive). RNAcentral's name for it is "long non-coding RNA (OEUR_LNC003606)". The record is from RNAcentral. Lineage: Eukaryota; Viridiplantae; Streptophyta; Magnoliopsida; Lamiales; Oleaceae.